Molecule: ribosomal RNA, 204 nt
Filed under: Leptocylindrus danicus
Lineage: Eukaryota; Bacillariophyta; Leptocylindrophyceae; Leptocylindrales; Leptocylindraceae
Description: partial Eukaryotic small subunit ribosomal RNA
Rfam family: Eukaryotic small subunit ribosomal RNA
Source: RNAcentral
GCAGUUCAUCAAACUGCAUCGAUUACGUCCCUCCCCUUUGUACACACCGCCCGUCGCACCUACCGAUUGAGUGGUCCGGUGAAGCCUCGGGAUUGCCGUUUACUUCUUCGGAUGCAGACAGCAAGAACUUGUCUAAACCUUAUCACUUAGAGGAAGGUGAAGUCGUAACAAGGUUUCCGUAGGUGAACCUGCGGAAGGAUCAUU